This 77-nucleotide transfer RNA is filed under the name Mollicutes bacterium. RNAcentral's name for it is "tRNA-Gln". It matches the Rfam family "tRNA". From Rfam's summary of the family: Transfer RNA (tRNA) molecules are approximately 80 nucleotides in length. Their secondary structure includes four short double-helical elements and three loops (D, anti-codon, and T loops). Further hydrogen bonds mediate the characteristic L-shaped molecular structure. tRNAs have two regions of fundamental functional importance: the anti-codon, which is responsible for specific mRNA codon recognition, and the 3' end, to which the tRNAs corresponding amino acid is attached (by aminoacyl-tRNA synthetases). tRNAs cope with the degeneracy of the genetic code in two manners: having more than one tRNA (with a specific anti-codon) for a particular amino acid; and 'wobble' base-pairing, i.e. permitting non-standard base-pairing at the 3rd anti-codon position. Lineage: Bacteria; Bacillati; Mycoplasmatota; Mollicutes. The record is from RNAcentral.
UGCCCAAUAGCCAAGUUGGUAAGGCAGUGGACUCUGGAUCCAUAAUUUCGAAGGUUCGAAUCCUUCUUGGGCAACCA